CAUCCAUUCUGAAGAUACCUUUCAGGAUGACUUCAGGACUAGAAAUAGUAUCUGGCUUGUUUCUAGUACAUCUUACCUAAAGUUUCAUGUAUGAAUGGGAGAACGAAAGCCUCAGAUUGUCAACUAACUCUACCAAGUCUUACAAUAGUUCAGUGUUCAUCCAAAAAUCAAAUCCAUAAUUCCAGAUCAUUUCUUCAAUUCCUUCAACUCUUCUUUGAAGCUGAGACCCAGACUCUCGUCUGAUUUUCUAAG
Molecule: long non-coding RNA, 252 nt
Filed under: Homo sapiens (human)
Lineage: Eukaryota; Metazoa; Chordata; Mammalia; Primates; Hominidae
Description: HSALNT0078571
Source: RNAcentral